AGCAAGGUGAAGAAACUGAGGUGAGGAGGAGGUAGGAGAAGAGAAGCGAGCGGAGAAGCAAAGAAGAGUGGCAAGCAGAGAGCAUGUCCAGCUGACUCAUGUGUGAAGAGGGUGAGAAUCACAGUGCGGUUCUCCUCUGGCACGAAGGCUGGCCAGAGCAGCUUA
RNAcentral lists this non-coding RNA (165 nucleotides) under Zea mays. The record is from RNAcentral. Lineage: Eukaryota; Viridiplantae; Streptophyta; Magnoliopsida; Poales; Poaceae.